UCCUAGCCCUGAUAGCAGCGAAAAUCCUUUUGUGUCCGCCGCGGCGGACACAAAAGAUUGAAGCGAAUAGCAGGAAAGAGC
This is a non-coding RNA of Flavobacterium hercynium, 81 nucleotides long. The record is from Rfam. Lineage: Bacteria; Pseudomonadati; Bacteroidota; Flavobacteriia; Flavobacteriales; Flavobacteriaceae.